RNAcentral lists this ribosomal RNA (361 nucleotides) under Shigella sp. FC1967. RNAcentral's name for it is "bacterial LSU rRNA". It matches the Rfam family "Bacterial large subunit ribosomal RNA", at positions 2417 to 2775 of the family's 2925-position model. The record is from RNAcentral. Lineage: Bacteria; Pseudomonadati; Pseudomonadota; Gammaproteobacteria; Enterobacterales; Enterobacteriaceae.
GAUCCGGUGGUUCUGAAUGGAAGGGCCAUCGCUCAACGGAUAAAAGGUACUCCGGGGAUAACAGGCUGAUACCGCCCAAGAGUUCAUAUCGACGGCGGUGUUUGGCACCUCGAUGUCGGCUCAUCACAUCCUGGGGCUGAAGUAGGUCCCAAGGGUAUGGCUGUUCGCCAUUUAAAAGUGGUACGCGAGCUGGGUUUAGAACGUCGUGAGACAGUUCGGUCCCCUAUCUGCCGUGGGCGUUGGAAGAUUGAGAGGGGUUGCUCCUAGUACGAGAGGACCGGAGUGAACGCACCACUGGUGUUCGGGUUGUCAUGCCAAUGGCAUUGCCCGGUAGCUAAGUGCGGAAGAGAUAACCGCUGAA